Molecule: microRNA precursor, 104 nt
Filed under: Marmota monax (woodchuck)
Lineage: Eukaryota; Metazoa; Chordata; Mammalia; Rodentia; Sciuridae
Source: RNAcentral
AUAAGAAUCACCAGGGGAAUCUUUUUUAAAAACAUAGAUUCUGAUUCAAUAGAUCAGGGAUACUGAGAUUCUGUGUUUUUAACUAGAUUCAAAGUUAUGCCUAU